This 2017-nucleotide long non-coding RNA is filed under the name Triticum aestivum (bread wheat). Its description in RNAcentral is "long non-coding RNA (TAES_LNC013439)". Lineage: Eukaryota; Viridiplantae; Streptophyta; Magnoliopsida; Poales; Poaceae. The record is from RNAcentral.
AGGUGCCAGCGCAUGCAGUGGGGACGCCGUGCCUAGCUACGUCGUCGGUAUUUGCUCUUGUAUUCUUGUAAUGUGUUUGGUGUUGUUGUGCACGUGAUUGCUGUUUGUUUUCUUUGUACGUGUGGCUGUCGGGUCUAGAUCUCGGCUCUUGUGUGUGUUGUCCUGCUACGUCAGUUCUGUGGUGGUAAAUUAAUUUGGAUUGUAUCUUGCAUGUUUCAACUAUAUAUUUGUUGGCUGCAUAUUUCAAUUAUGUGAUGUUGGAAUUAUGUGAAUUGCUCCAAUGUGCCAUUGGUUACCAUUGCUUGAUCGGUGAAAUACAAGGUAAAUAUGUCAUGCGUCGUAGUUACUCUGUUUUGCAGAACUAGCCUCUGUUUGUGCGUCUAGAUUUAUAAAUAUUACUGCAUUUGGUGUUGUUUUUCUUUUCUAUUUAUUUGACUCCACUGUAAAGAAUUGUUUUAUUGUAUUCAUAGCAACUUUACUAGUUACAGCGAUUCAAAUUUUAUUAAAUUGUUGCCCCUAAAAGGAGAAUAUGAUGUCAGAAACACUAGCAAAACACGGGCAUCCGAGGGAGUAUAGACUACCCACUAGGGCUAACGUGCACUUCACUGCACCGUUCUUCGUUCCUGGGAUUAACUCUUCACUAGUGCAGAAACCCUUUAUAGGAUUUUUCUACUAGCAAUGUAUGGAUAAAAUGAGACGGGUGCUAAUUUGACAAAAUACCAACAACGUUCACGAAAAUAGUACACGCUGCUAAUAACAUCUUAUUAUCCGCAUGUGACACCAGCGCACGCUGCUAGUAAGGGGCACCCAGGAAGCCCUUCAUCUCGAAUAUCCUAGCAGCGGGUAGCGCGGUGAACGUUGCUAAUAUAGAAAGAACUAGUGGCGCAUGCAGAAAUUCGAGACACCACUAAUACGUAGUGUGGACCCCUUGUGUUUGAAUUAUCCAAUACAAAUGUUCAAUUUUUUAACUAAUUUCAUCAAAUAUAACUGGAACACAAAAGUCCUGUAAUUGUAUUUGAAAUCCUAAAAUGCCACUCUGCAUGAGUGAGAUGCCACCGCGUGCAGUGGGGGGCGACGUGCCUACGCCGUCGGUAUUUGCUCUUGUAUUCUUGUAUGUGUUUUGUGACCUGGUGAUUGUUGUUUGUUUUCUUUGUACGUGUGGCUGUUGGGUCUGGAUCUCGGCUCUUGUACUAUGUAUUGUGUUGUUACGUCAGUUUUGCGGCAGUAAACUAAUUUGGACGGUAUCUUGCAUGUUUCAAUUAUAUAUAUUUUCGGCUGCCUGUUUCAAUUAUAUGAUGUUGUAAUUAUGUGGAUUGCUACAAUGUUCCAUUUGUUACCAUUGCUUGAUCAGUGAAAUACGGGGUGAAUAUGUCAUGCGUCGUAGUUACUCUGUUUUGCACAACUGGCAUCCGUUUGUGCGGUUAGAUUUAUGUAUUUGCUGAUGCUUUCCUCCACUGUAUUUUUGUAUUCAUAGCUACUUUUGCACAACUGGCAACCUUAUUUAUUUGACUCCACUGUCACGAACUAUUUUUUUUGUAUUCAUAGCUACUUUUUUUUGCGAGAAGCUACUUUACUAGUUAUGACGAUUUAGAUUUUGCUUAAAUAGUUUCCCCUAUUUAUGCAGGGGCUAAAUAUAUAUUGUUAAGCUAAAAACAAAAUACGUCAUCAGAAACAAUAGCAAAACACGGACGUCCAAGGGAGUAUGGACUACCCAUAUACUCCCUCACUUCUAUUUUAUAGGCUCAAUUUAAAAAUCUCGUCAACCAAGGUAGCGGGUGAGUGGUAAAAUAUAUUUUUGUAGUUUGCAAAAAUACUCAAUUGUUGGGCUCAUUUUUCUCAAGAAAUUGUACUUUACAAAAAUUUUAAUCGCAAUGCAUACAUGUGUGACCAAUAAAUGACCAAGAACUUUACAUGCAUUGGUGAGUUUUCUCUUAAUCCUUGCAUACAACGAUUUAAUGCACCUUGAAAUCCUAACAUGCGAAUGUGAGCAACGAAAUUGAGACUUGUAAAAUGGGAA